GCCAAUGGCGUAGUUGUUAAAGUGUCUGCCUCGAAUGCGGGAGGUCGCGGGUUCGAACCCCGGCCGGACCA
Non-coding RNA from Potamilus streckersoni, 71 nucleotides. Lineage: Eukaryota; Metazoa; Mollusca; Bivalvia; Unionida; Unionidae. The record is from the annotation of a GenBank genome assembly.